RNAcentral lists this ribosomal RNA (490 nucleotides) under uncultured bacterium. Its description in RNAcentral is "partial 16S ribosomal RNA". It matches the Rfam family "Bacterial small subunit ribosomal RNA", at positions 28 to 507 of the family's 1533-position model. The record is from RNAcentral.
GAUGAACGCUAGCGAUAGGCUUAACACAUGCAAGUCGAGGGGCAGCAUGGUCUUAGCUUGCUAAGACUGAUGGCGACCGGCGCACGGGUGCGUAAUGCGUAUGCAACUUGCCUCACAGAGGGGGAUAACCCGUCGAAAGACGGACUAAUACCGCGUACACUCCCUCUUGUGCAUCCAAGGUAGAGGAAAUGAAAUUCGCUGUGAGAUAGGCAUGCGUCCCAUUAGCUCGUUGGUGAGGUAACGGCUCACCAAGGCGACGAUGGGUAGGGGAACUGAGAGGUUGAACCCCCACACUGGUACUGAGACACGGACCAGACUCCUACGGGAGGCAGCAGUGAGGAAUAUUGGUCAAUGGGCGAGAGCCUGAACCAGCCAAGUCGCGUGAAGGAUGACUGUCUUAUGGAUUGUAAACUUCUUUUAUACGGGAAUAACAAGAGUCACGUGUGACUCCCUGCAUGUACCGUAUGAAUAAGCAUCGGCUAACUCCGUG